CACAUCCAACACAGUUGUAGGGUAAUUUUGUACACAUGUCACUCUCAUAUUCAAUUUCAGCAAAUCCUACAUGGAAAAAGACAAAAAACCUACUUCUUUUGGCUGAAAUUUCAAAUGAUAUUCCCUCCUUCAGCUUUUGACGAAAUGGGCCAACAAAUGCCAAGCCAAUGCUAUCCGGCCCAACUUGAUCCAGUCCAUUUCAGGCCAAACAAAAAAAACUCCUUCCCCAAGAAGCGUGUUUGACGUGUCUCUUUUCAUUAUUUUUCAAAUCCAUGCAACUUCUUCUUCUGAGAAGCAGCUGUCCCUUUCAUUCUUAGCAAAGGAACAGUGUCAAGUCACUUUCAGUACCAACAAAUUUGUCUGACUGAUAUUGAAAAACAGAUUCUCAAAUUUCAAACUCUCUCUCCCUCUCUAAACACCAAAGCCACAACCUUCUUCACUUGAUGAACUCCAUUUUCCUUCCAAAGAAGAAUCUCAUGGAUGUUGCUGGGCCGAUUUUCAUUCUGACGGAGCAGAUUUCAUUCUGAAACCCGAUGCGUGUUCUCCCAAAAGUGUUAUAUAUUUAAGCCCGAGUUGUUGUCUGGAAUUCUGCAACAAAGAAGAUGAAGAGAAAUAUGAAGAAGCAACACUCACCAUGAAGGAAGCGGCAGACUCAAACUUAGAAAAUUCUGCAUCAAUUCCAAGUGAAACCUCAAAAUGAUGGCGGACACAAUUUUUUGUUCAAGAUUCAAGUUAAAUUGUGUGAAGGGUAUCCAACGAUUUUGAUCUCUUGCGGUAAAUUCAAAGAUUUGAGUAAUCCAAAGGUUUCACUUCUUGAAAUUUGCCAGAGUUUGAAUUCUAAAUAUUGAAGAUGUUAGACCAAUUCAAGGAAAUAAUGGGUCUAUGGCUUGAAGGGAAUUUCUAUGGAGAUUGAUUUAAUGUCCAGUUUAGCAUUGUAUGCAUGACUAUGUCCAGGUUUAUGAAGGGAUCCUACAUCCAUAUGACAAAGGACUAUCAUACCAUCAUGGAGCUGGAGAAGAAGAGAAAGGAAUUAUUUGCAGGAGUUAUUUAUAACUAUACGACAAAGAGCAUAACACUUGCUUAUGAGGUUGUGCUAUAAUUUCUAAUUUCUAAUUACAUCAUUUUUUGGUGUUGUUAAGAGUUAUUGAUGGAUUUGGAGGUAGAUCUAUGUUCUCUCAUUCAACUCAUGGCUUUGUAGUAUUGUUUUUCACAGUAGAUGAUUCAUACGUUGACACCUACAUAUCAGUACAAUUGGAGUGGACUUUAUAAGCAUUCACAUCCACCACUUAACCUUUGCAAAUCUCUUGAUUAAUUUGGUUUUACAUCUAAGGGAGAUUUGUGGGCCGAAAUACAGACAUAGCUGCAAAAUUGGUUCUAAACUUCUAAAGGAUUUAUGCAUGAUAAUACAAUGUUUAAAAGGAUUUUAUAUAUAGUUUCAUUCGAUCUUAAUGGUCUUAACUUUGUUUAGUUCAUGAGUUUAUCUCUUAAUAGAAUUUUAAAAGAUGUCUUGAAUGAAAAUAAAAAUGACAUUAUUAAAAUAUAACAUUAAGUUUUGCUCUGUUAUGAUA
Molecule: long non-coding RNA, 1568 nt
Organism: Trifolium pratense (red clover)
Lineage: Eukaryota; Viridiplantae; Streptophyta; Magnoliopsida; Fabales; Fabaceae
Exons: 11
Source: RefSeq, a predicted model, not a curated record